RNAcentral lists this long non-coding RNA (315 nucleotides) under Equus caballus (horse). Its description in RNAcentral is "lncRNA (ENSECAG00000046928.1)". Lineage: Eukaryota; Metazoa; Chordata; Mammalia; Perissodactyla; Equidae. The record is from RNAcentral.
GAUCCACAUUUGCAAAUGUGCAGCCUGCAGUGUGAAAAACAGCACCAUCUGUUCUGGAAGGAGCUGGAACUUCCACAAGGCUGUGAUGAGACCACAUGUGCUGGGAGCUGGGAGGACAGGAAGCAGGUGUGGUACCUGCAUUAUCUCAUUCAUCAGACCCUGACACUUUCCAGAGAAGAGUCUGUUCAUUUUCCCAUCUUCCAGAUGAGAAAGCAAAUGUCCAACAUGAGUGCCCCUGGUGAAGCUGUUCCUGAAGGCAGUUCUCCUCCAAGUAGCGAGCUCAGCGACUGGAAAUCCUUCCAUCCACUAUCUAAG